This 474-nucleotide ribosomal RNA is filed under the name uncultured bacterium. Its description in RNAcentral is "bacterial SSU rRNA". It matches the Rfam family "Bacterial small subunit ribosomal RNA", at positions 335 to 799 of the family's 1533-position model. The record is from RNAcentral.
ACUCCUACGGGAGGCAGCAGUAGGGAAUCUUCCACAAUGGGCGAAAGCCUGAUGGAGCAACGCCGCGUGGGUGAAGAAGGUCUUCGGAUCGUAAAACCCUGUUGUUAGAGAAGAAAGUGCGUGAGAGUAACUGUUCACGUUUCGACGGUAUCUAACCAGAAAGCCACGGCUAACUACGUGCCAGCAGCCGCGGUAAUACGUAGGUGGCAAGCGUUAUCCGGAUUUAUUGGGGCGUAAAGGGAACGCAGGCGGUCUUUUAAGUCUGAUGUGAAAGCCUUCGGCUUAACCGGAGUAGUGCAUUGGAAACUGGGAGACUUGAGUGCAGAAGAGGAGAGUGGAACUCCAUGUGUAGCGGUGAAAUGCGUAGAUAUAUGGAAGAACACCAGUGGCGAAGGCGGCUCUCUGGUCUGUAACUGACGCUGAGGUUCGAAAGCGUGGGUAGCAAACAGGAUUAGAUACCCUGGUAGGAUAGCG